This 439-nucleotide ribosomal RNA is filed under the name uncultured bacterium. Its description in RNAcentral is "partial 16S ribosomal RNA". It matches the Rfam family "Bacterial small subunit ribosomal RNA", at positions 339 to 795 of the family's 1533-position model. The record is from RNAcentral.
CUACGGGUGGCUCCAGUGGGGAAUAUUGCACAAUGGAGGAAACUCUGAUGCAGCAACGCCGCGUGGAGGAUGACACUUUUCGGAGCGUAAACUCCUUUUAUAUAGGAAGAAGAUGACGGUACUAUAUGAAUAAGCGCCGGCUAACUCCGUGCCAGCAGCCGCGGUAAUACGGAGGGCGCAAGCGUUACUCGGAAUCACUGGGCGUAAAGAGCGUGUAGGCGGAUUAAAAAGUCAGAAGUGAAAUCCUAUAGCUUAACUAUAGAACUGCUUCUGAAACUCUUAAUCUAGAAUAUGGGAGAGGUAGAUGGAAUUUCUGGUGUAGGGGUAGAAUCCGUAGAGAUCAGAAGGAAUACCGAUUGCGAAGGCGAUCUACUAGAGCAUUAUUGACGCUGAGACGCGAAAGCGUGGGGAGCAAACAGGAUUAGAUACCCUAGUAGUC